GUGGCCAAGAGAGAUGGCAGGACCUGAGUU
This 30-nucleotide non-coding RNA is filed under the name Homo sapiens (human). Lineage: Eukaryota; Metazoa; Chordata; Mammalia; Primates; Hominidae. The record is from RNAcentral.